CCGAUUCUUCGGAUGAAGGUUUUUGUGACUGAGUGGCGGACGGGUGAGUAACGCGUGGGUAACCUGCCUCAUACAGGGGGAUAACAGUUAAAAAUGACUGCUAAUACCGCAUAAGACCACGGAGCCGCGUGGCUCAGUGGGAAAAACUCCGGUGGUAUGAGAUGGACCCGCGUCUGAUUAGGUAGUUGGUGGGGUAACGGCCUACCAAGCCAACGAUCAGUAGCCGACCUGAGAGGGUGACCGGCCACAUUGGGACUGAGACACGGCCCAAACUCCUACGGGAGGCAGCGGUGGGGAAUAUUGCACAAUGGGGGAAACCCUGAUGCAGCGACGCCGCGUGAGCGAAAGAAGUAUUUCGGUAUGUAAAGCUCUAUCAGCAGGGAAGAAAAUGACGGUACCUGACUAAGAAGCACCGGCUAAAUACGUGCCAGCAGCCGCGGUAAUACGUAUGGUGCAAGCGUUAUCCGGAUUUACUGGGUGUAAAGGGAGCGUAGACGGCUGUGUAAGUCUGAAGUGAAAGCCCGGGGCUCAACCCCGGGACUGCUUUGGAAACUAUGCAGCUAGAGUGUCGGAGAGGUAAGUGGAAUUCCCAGUGUAGCGGUGAAAUGCGUAGAUAUUGGGAGGAACACCAGUGGCGAAGGCGGCUUACUGGACGAUGACUGACGUUGAGGCUCGAAAGCGUGGGGAGCAAACAGAAUUAGAUACCCUGGUAGUCCACGCCGUAAACGA
RNAcentral lists this ribosomal RNA (729 nucleotides) under uncultured bacterium. RNAcentral describes it as "bacterial SSU rRNA". It matches the Rfam family "Bacterial small subunit ribosomal RNA", at positions 69 to 809 of the family's 1533-position model. The record is from RNAcentral.